UACGGGGGGAGCAAGCGUUGUUCGGAUUUACUGGGCGUAAAGGGCGCGUAGGCGGUCGUGACAAGUCACUUGUGAAAUCUCCGGGCUUAACUCGGAACGGUCAAGUGAUACUGUCGGACUAGAGUACAGAAGGGGCAACUGGAAUUCUCGGUGUAGCGGUGAAAUGCGUAGAUAUCGAGAGGAACACCUGCGGCGAAGGCGGGUUGCUGGGCUGAUACUGACGCUGAGGCGCGAAAGCGUGGGGAGCAAGCAGG
Molecule: ribosomal RNA, 254 nt
Filed under: uncultured bacterium
Lineage: Bacteria
Description: partial 16S ribosomal RNA
Rfam family: Bacterial small subunit ribosomal RNA
Source: RNAcentral